RNAcentral lists this ribosomal RNA (327 nucleotides) under uncultured eukaryote. Its description in RNAcentral is "partial 18S ribosomal RNA". It matches the Rfam family "Eukaryotic small subunit ribosomal RNA", at positions 1470 to 1796 of the family's 1831-position model. The record is from RNAcentral.
CCCCUAGAUGUUCUGGGCCGCACGCGCGCUACACUGAACAGUUCAACAAGUCUUAACCUUGGCCGAUAGGUCUGGGUAAUCUUUGAACGCUGUUCGUGAUUGGGGUAGACCUUUGCAAUUAUGGGUCUUCAACGAGGAAUUCCUAGUAAACGCAAGUCAUCAGCUUGCAUUGAUUACGUCCCUGCCCUUUGUACACACCGCCCGUCGCACCUACCGAUUGAAUGGUCCGGUGAAAUCUUCGGAUCUGAGAGAUGUCUGAUUAAUUUCGGACGCCUUUUGGAAAAGUUGCUUAAACCUUACCAUUUAGAGGAAGGUGAAGUCGUAACA